UACAGAGGUCCCAAGCGUUGUUCGGAUUCAUUGGGCGUAAAGGGUGCGUAGGCGGCGCGGUAAGUCGGGUGUGAAAUCUCGGAGCCUAACUCCGAAACUGCAUUCGAUACUGCCGUGCUUGAGGACUGGAGAGGAGACUGGAAUUUACGGUGUAGCGGUGAAAUGCGUAGAUAUCGUAAGGAAGACCAGUGGCGAAGGCGGGUCUCUGGACAGUUCCUGACGCUGAGGCACGAAGGCCAGGGGAGCAAACGGG
RNAcentral lists this ribosomal RNA (253 nucleotides) under uncultured bacterium. RNAcentral's name for it is "partial 16S ribosomal RNA". It matches the Rfam family "Bacterial small subunit ribosomal RNA", at positions 524 to 776 of the family's 1533-position model. The record is from RNAcentral.